Klebsiella sp. RIT-PI-d is the source of this 79-nucleotide small RNA. It matches the Rfam family "isrK Hfq binding RNA". The record is from Rfam. NCBI's taxonomy places the organism in Bacteria, Pseudomonadati, Pseudomonadota, Gammaproteobacteria, Enterobacterales, Enterobacteriaceae.
GCAUCUGCAAAAUCAGGUGCCGGGAUUGGAACCCUGAGAAAUGUUACAGGCGACAUACGACGCGUCCCGCGUCUUUUUU